CACGUAGGCGGAUCGGUAAGUCAGAUGUGAAAUCCCGGAGCUCAACUCCGGAACUGCAUUUGAUACUGCCAGUCUUGAGUGAGGUAGAGGGGGGUGGAAUUCCCGGUGUAGAGGUGAAAUUCGUAGAUAUCGGGAGGAACACCAGAGGCGAAGGCGACCCCCUGGGCCUUUACUGACGCUGAGGUGCGAAAGCGUGGGGGAGCAAACA
RNAcentral lists this ribosomal RNA (208 nucleotides) under uncultured bacterium. Its description in RNAcentral is "partial 16S ribosomal RNA". It matches the Rfam family "Bacterial small subunit ribosomal RNA", at positions 568 to 774 of the family's 1533-position model. The record is from RNAcentral.